AUCGAACGCUGGCGGCAGGCCUAACACAUGCAAGUCGAGCGGACGUUUCGGGCUUGCUCCUGGACUCAGGGGUAGACCGUUGAGUCAUGCCUUUGAAUUCGCAUUAUCUUGGGGGAUCUUGUCCUGAUACGGGCUCUACCCUUCCAUACGUCGUGUGGUCGCCUUUGGGGGAUCCUCGGUCUUCUUGCUCUCAUUUUUGCCUAGGUCGGAUUAGCUAGUUGGUGGGGUAAAGGCCUAUCAAGGCGACGAUCCGUACAUGGUCUGAGAGGAUGAUCAGUCACACUGGAACUGAGACACGGUCCAGACUCCUACGGGAGGCAGCAGUGGGGAAUAUUGGACAAUGGGCGAAAGCCUGAUCCAGCCAUGCCGCGUGUGUGAAGAAGGUCUUCGGAUUGUAAAGCACUUUAAGUUGGGAGGAAGGGCAGUAAGUUAAUACCUUGCUGUUUUGACGUUACCAACAGAAUAAGCACCGGCUAACUUCGUG
Molecule: ribosomal RNA, 484 nt
Filed under: uncultured bacterium
Lineage: Bacteria
Description: partial 16S ribosomal RNA
Rfam family: Bacterial small subunit ribosomal RNA
Source: RNAcentral